GUCCAGACUCCUACGGGAGGCAGCAGUGGGGAAUAUUGGACAAUGGGGGGAACCCUGAUCCAGCGACGCCGCGUGAGUGAAGAAGUAUCUCGGUAUGUAAAGCUCUAUCAGCAGGGAAGAAAGAAAUGACGGUACCUGACUAAGAAGCCCCGGCUAACUACGUGCCAGCAGCCGCGGUAAAACGUAGGGUGCAAGCGUUGUCCGGAAUUACUGGGUGUAAAGGGAGCGUAGACGGCGAUGCAAGCCAGAUGUGAAAGCCCGGGGCUCAACCCCGGGACUGCAUUUGGAACUGUAUAGCUAGAGUGUCGGAGAGGCAGGCGGAAUUCCUAGUGUAGCGGUGAAAUGCGUAGAUAUUAGGAGGAACACCAGUGGCGAAGGCGGCCUGCUGGACGAUGACUGACGUUGAGGCUCGAAAGCGUGGGGAGCAAACAGGAUUAGAUACCCCAGUACA
Molecule: ribosomal RNA, 451 nt
Filed under: uncultured bacterium
Lineage: Bacteria
Description: bacterial SSU rRNA
Rfam family: Bacterial small subunit ribosomal RNA
Source: RNAcentral